RNAcentral lists this ribosomal RNA (498 nucleotides) under uncultured bacterium. RNAcentral's name for it is "partial 16S ribosomal RNA". It matches the Rfam family "Bacterial small subunit ribosomal RNA", at positions 28 to 507 of the family's 1533-position model. The record is from RNAcentral.
GACGAACGCUGGCGGCGUGCCUAAUACAUGCAAGUCGAGCGGUCAUACGAGGAGCCUUCCUUCUUUACGUUAGCGGCGGGCGGGUGAGUGACAUGUGUGCAACACUGCUUCAAGACGGGGAUAACCUAGUGAAACCGGUGGCAAUAACGGAUUAUAGCUUCCUUCGCAUGGAGGAGGGUCUACAGGCGUCUCACGCUGCCGCUUGCCCAUAGGCGCUGGGCGGAUUAGCUAGUUGGUGGGGUAACGGCUCACCAAGGCGACGAUGCUUAGCCGGCCUGAGAGGGUGAUCGGCCACACUGGGACUGAGACACGGCCCAGACUCCUACGGGAGGCAGCAGUAGGGAAUAUUGCGCAAUGGGCGAAAGUCUGACGCAGCAACGCCGCGUGUAUGAAGAAGGCCUUCGGGUCGUAAAGCUCUGUUGGCGGGGAGGAAGGGGGUAAAGUUAAACAGUGCGGUAAUUGAAGGGUACCGGAGAAGAAGGCCCGGCUAACCUCGUG